Molecule: ribosomal RNA, 433 nt
Filed under: uncultured bacterium
Lineage: Bacteria
Also listed under: 1 other name
Description: bacterial SSU rRNA
Rfam family: Bacterial small subunit ribosomal RNA
Source: RNAcentral
AACGAACGCUGGCGGCAUGCCUAACACAUGCAAGUCGAACGAGAUCUUCGGAUCUAGUGGCGCACGGGUGCGUAACGCGUGGGAAUCUGCCCUUGGGUACGGAAUAACUCAGAGAAAUUUGUGCUAAUACCGUAUAAUGUCUUCGGACCAAAGAUUUAUCGCCCAAGGAUGAGCCCGCGUAGGAUUAGCUAGUUGGUGAGGUAAAAGCUCACCAAGGCGACGAUCCUUAGCUGGUCUGAGAGGAUGAUCAGCCACACUGGGACUGAGACACGGCCCAGACUCCUACGGGAGGCAGCAGUGGGGAAUAUUGGACAAUGGGCGAAAGCCUGAUCCAGCAAUGCCGCGUGAGUGAUGAAGGCCCUAGGGUUGUAAAGCUCUUUUACCCGGGAUGAUAAUGACAGUACCGGGAGAAUAAGCUCCGGCUAACUUCGUG